This 1427-nucleotide ribosomal RNA is filed under the name Sesame phyllody phytoplasma. Its description in RNAcentral is "bacterial SSU rRNA". It matches the Rfam family "Bacterial small subunit ribosomal RNA". Lineage: Bacteria; Bacillati; Mycoplasmatota; Mollicutes; Acholeplasmatales; Acholeplasmataceae. The record is from RNAcentral.
UUUAGUGGCGAACGGGUGAGUAACGCGUAAGCAAUCUGCCCCUAAGACGAGGAUAACAGUUGGAAACGACUGCUAAGACUGGAUAGGAGACAAGAAGGCAUCUUCUUGUUUUUAAAAGACCUAGCAAUAGGUAUGCUUAGGGAGGAGCUUGCGUCACAUUAGUUAGUUGGUGGGGUAAAGGCCUACCAAGACUAUGAUGUGUAGCCGGGCUGAGAGGUUGAACGGCCACAUUGGGACUGAGACACGGCCCAAACUCCUACGGGAGGCAGCAGUAGGGAAUUUUCGGCAAUGGAGGAAACUCUGACCGAGCAACGCCGCGUGAACGAUGAAGUAUUUCGGUACGUAAAGUUCUUUUAUUAGGGAAGAAUAAAUGAUGGAAAAAUCAUUCUGACGGUACCUAAUGAAUAAGCCCCGGCUAACUAUGUGCCAGCAGCCGCGGUAAUACAUAGGGGGCAAGCGUUAUCCGGAAUUAUUGGGCGUAAAGGGUGCGUAGGCGGUUAAAUAAGUUUAUGGUCUAAGUGCAAUGCUCAACAUUGUGAUGCUAUAAAAACUGUUUAGCUAGAGUAAGAUAGAGGCAAGUGGAAUUCCAUGUGUAGUGGUAAAAUGCGUAAAUAUAUGGAGGAACACCAGUAGCGAAGGCGGCUUGCUGGGUCUUUACUGACGCUGAGGCACGAAAGCGUGGGGAGCAAACAGGAUUAGAUACCCUGGUAGUCCACGCCGUAAACGAUGAGUACUAAACGUUGGGUAAAACCAGUGUUGAAGUUAACACAUUAAGUACUCCGCCUGAGUAGUACGUACGCAAGUAUGAAACUUAAAGGAAUUGACGGGACUCCGCACAAGCGGUGGAUCAUGUUGUUUAAUUCGAAGGUACCCGAAAAACCUCACCAGGUCUUGACAUGCUUCUGCAAAGCUGUAGAAACACAGUGGAGGUUAUCAGUUGCACAGGUGGUGCAUGGUUGUCGUCAGCUCGUGUCGUGAGAUGUUGGGUUAAGUCCCGCAACGAGCGCAACCCUUAUUGUUAGUUACCAGCACGUAAUGGUGGGGACUUUAGCAAGACUGCCAGUGAUAAAUUGGAGGAAGGUGGGGACGACGUCAAAUCAUCAUGCCCCUUAUGACCUGGGCUACAAACGUGAUACAAUGGCUGUUACAAAGGGUAGCUGAAGCGCAAGUUUUUGGCGAAUCUCAAAAAAACAGUCUCAGUUCGGAUUGAAGUCUGCAACUCGACUUCAUGAAGUUGGAAUCGCUAGUAAUCGCGAAUCAGCAUGUCGCGGUGAAUACGUUCUCGGGGUUUGUACACACCGCCCGUCAAACCACGAAAGUUGGUAAUACCCAAAGCCGGUGGCCUAACUUCGCAAGAAGAGGGAACCGUCUAAGGUAGGGUCGAUGAUUGGGGUUAAGUCGUAACAAGGUAUCCCUACCGGAAGGUG